Molecule: ribosomal RNA, 206 nt
Filed under: uncultured bacterium
Lineage: Bacteria
Description: partial 16S ribosomal RNA
Rfam family: Bacterial small subunit ribosomal RNA
Source: RNAcentral
UGCGUAGGUGGUUUCUUAAGUCAGAGGUGAAAGGCUACGGCUCAACCGUAGUAAGCCUUUGAAACUGGGAAACUUGAGUGCAGGAGAGGAGAGUGGAAUUCCUAGUGUAGCGGUGAAAUGCGUAGAUAUUAGGAGGAACACCAGUGGCGAAGGCGGCCUGCUGGACUGUUACUGACACUGAGGCACGAAAGCGUGGGGAGCAAACA